CCUACGGGUGGCAGCAGUGAGGAAUAUUGGUCAAUGGUCGGGAGACUGAACCAGCCAAGCCACGUGAGGGAGGAAGGUACAGAGUAUCGUAAACCUCUUUUGUCAGGGAACAAAGGCGGGGACGUGUCCCCGGAUGAGUGUACCUGAAGAAAAAGCAUCGGCUAACUCCGUGCCAGCAGCCGCGGUAAUACGGAGGAUGCGAGCGUUAUCCGGAUUUAUUGGGUUUAAAGGGUGCGCAGGCGGUCUGUUAAGUCAGCGGUCAAAGCCCGGGGCUCAACCCCGGCCCGCCGUUGAAACUGGCAGUCUUGAGUGGGAGAGAAGUAUGCGGAAUGCGCGGUGUAGCGGUGAAAUGCAUAGAUAUCGCGCAGAACUCCGAUUGCGAAGGCAGCAUGCCGGCUCCACACUGACGCUGAUGCACGAAAGCGUGGGUAUCGAACAGGAUUAGAUACCCCUGUAGUC
This 459-nucleotide ribosomal RNA is filed under the name uncultured bacterium. RNAcentral's name for it is "partial 16S ribosomal RNA". It matches the Rfam family "Bacterial small subunit ribosomal RNA", at positions 338 to 795 of the family's 1533-position model. The record is from RNAcentral.